RNAcentral lists this ribosomal RNA (403 nucleotides) under bacterium. RNAcentral describes it as "partial 16S ribosomal RNA". It matches the Rfam family "Bacterial small subunit ribosomal RNA", at positions 355 to 776 of the family's 1533-position model. The record is from RNAcentral.
UGGGGAAUAUUGCACAAUGGAGGGAACUCUGAUGCAGCGACGCCGCGUGAACGAAGAAGGCUUUCGAGUCGUAAAGUUCUUUUAUAUGGGAAGAUAAUGACGGUACCAUAAGAAAAAGCCCCGGCUAUCUACGUGCCAGCAGCCGCGGUAAUACGUAGGGGGCUAGCGUUGUCCGGAAUCACUGGGCGUAAAGGGUUCGCAGGCGGAAAUGCAAGUCAGGUGUAAAAGGCAGUAGCUUAACUACUGUAAGCAUUUGAAACUGCAUAUCUUGAGAAGAGUAGAGGUAAGUGGAAUUUUUAGUGUAGCGGUGAAAUGCGUAGAUAUUAAAAAGAAUACCGGUGGCGAAGGCGACUUACUGGGCUCAUUCUGACGCUGAGGAACGAAAGCGUGGGUAGCAAACAGG